RNAcentral lists this transfer RNA (86 nucleotides) under Hoylesella marshii. RNAcentral's name for it is "tRNA-Leu". It matches the Rfam family "tRNA". Rfam says of the family: Transfer RNA (tRNA) molecules are approximately 80 nucleotides in length. Their secondary structure includes four short double-helical elements and three loops (D, anti-codon, and T loops). The record is from RNAcentral. RNAcentral also lists the same sequence under 1 other name. Lineage: Bacteria; Pseudomonadati; Bacteroidota; Bacteroidia; Bacteroidales; Prevotellaceae.
GCCGCAAUGGUGGAAUUGGUAGACACGAGGGACUUAAAAUCCCUUGACCAGUGAUGGUUGUGCGGGUUCGAGUCCCGCUCGCGGCA